AAUACAGACAUAAGUAUGUCCCCAGGUGAGUUUCUGUAUACAGAAAUGUACCCUGAACAAAGUCAAAAGACAGAAUUGUACCCGGUACCCCAAAC
This is a long non-coding RNA of Haliotis rubra (blacklip abalone), 95 nucleotides long. RefSeq lists it as uncharacterized. NCBI's taxonomy places the organism in Eukaryota, Metazoa, Mollusca, Gastropoda, Lepetellida, Haliotidae. The transcript is spliced from 3 exons. The record is from RefSeq and is a predicted model, not a curated record.